RNAcentral lists this ribosomal RNA (497 nucleotides) under uncultured bacterium. RNAcentral describes it as "partial 16S ribosomal RNA". It matches the Rfam family "Bacterial small subunit ribosomal RNA", at positions 28 to 507 of the family's 1533-position model. The record is from RNAcentral.
GAUGAACGCUGGCGGCGUGCCUAAUACAUGCCAGUCGAGCGAACAGACGAGGAGCUUGCUCCUCUGACGUUAGCGGCGGACGGGUGAGUAACACGUGGAUAACCUACCUAUAAGACUGGGAUAACUUCGGGAAACCGGAGCUAAUACCGGAUAAUAUAUUGAACCGCAUGGUUCAAUAGUGAAAGACGGUUUUGCUGUCACUUAUAGAUGGAUCCGCGCCGCAUUAGCUAGUUGGUAAGGUAACGGCUUACCAAGGCGACGAUGCGUAGCCGACCUGAGAGGGUGAGCAGCCACACUGGAACUGAGACACGGUCCAGACUCCUACGGGAGGCAGCAGUAGGGAAUCUUCCGCAAUGGGCGAAAGCCUGACGGAGCAACGCCGCGUGAGUGAUGAAGGCCUUCGGAUCGUAAAACUCUGUUAUUAGGGAAGAACAAAUGUGUAAGUAACUAUGCACGUCUUGACGGUACCUAAUCAGAAAGCCACGGCUAACUACGUG